Molecule: ribosomal RNA, 467 nt
Filed under: uncultured bacterium
Lineage: Bacteria
Description: partial 16S ribosomal RNA
Rfam family: Bacterial small subunit ribosomal RNA
Source: RNAcentral
GACGAACGCUGGCGGCGUGCUUAACACAUGCAAGUCGAACGGAAAGGCCUCAGCUUGCUGGGGUACUCGAGUGGCGAACGGGUGAGUAACACGUGGGUGAUCUGCCUUGCACUCUGGGAUAAGCUUGGGAAACUGGGUCUAAUACCGGAGAUGAACUGCCUUUAGUGUGGUGGUUGGAAAGAUUUUUCGGUGCAAGAUGAGUUCGCGGCCUAUCAGCUUGUUGGUGGGGUAAUGGCCUACCAAGGCGUCGACGGGUAGCCGGACAGUGAGGGUGUACGGCGACAUUGACACUGAGAGGCGGCCGAGACACCGACGGGUGGCAGCUGUGCGAAAGACUGAAGAAUGAGCGGCAGGCGGGUGCAGAGAGGCCGCGGAUGGGAAGACGGUCUUCUGGUUGUAGACCACUUUCGACAGUGACGAAGCUUUUUGUGACGGUACCUGAAUAGAAAGCCCCGGCUAACUACGUG